RNAcentral lists this transfer RNA (56 nucleotides) under Brookesia brygooi. RNAcentral's name for it is "tRNA-Cys". The record is from RNAcentral. Lineage: Eukaryota; Metazoa; Chordata; Lepidosauria; Squamata; Chamaeleonidae.
AAGUUCGGGGCAUUCUUACACACCUAAUCCAAAUUUGCACUUUGGGAGUCCAAACC